UAGCCACGUAAUGUUUCACACCUGUAUUAUUAAACCCGUUUAUUCUUCAAAACGUGAUGGUCACAUGCAUCUACUGCCCAUUGGGAAUGGUUCUUGACUCACACUAACUUCCAAACUGUGCCCAGGAAUUGUUUGGGAAAGUGCUAGCUGGCAUGCUUUUAGCCCCUGCCAAGGUUCCCUAAACGUAAUUCAUCUUUGAAGAGAGGAACAGCAUAGAAAAUCUUGGCCUAAGAAGUACAUAUUUGGAGAAGUAACAGGGUAAGCAUGAGCAGUUUUCUUAAAGUUUAUAGUCCCGUUCUAGUAAACGAGGCCUGUUAUGAGCAGCCACUGCGCCAGUGAGGAGGAGAGCUCUGGUGAUGCUGGAAGGAGAAAUCACAGUGGAUCUAAAAGCUCCUAAAGCGCCCUGCUAGCCCCAAACACGCUACCGGGGAGUCGCCUCGCCUCCUCCCUCAAACCAGGCUGCAACACCGGCCCGCCUGCUGAGUGGAACUUGCCCAUGCAGGAGAAAGGAGAAAGGUGCCCUCAAGAUUUUACCUCACGUUCACCUCUUUUAAUUCAUAGAUCACCUCCUGGUUCUUUCUAAUGACUUCUUAUAGCUCUCAUUUUGAAAUUUUGUCAUUAAUUUUACAGCGAAUAAUUAACAAUAUGUAAGUAGGCUUCCCCUCCCCGAGUAAUGGAACAGUCCGCCGGGUUCCUCGGCGCCGACGUUCAACUUUUAACUCCUUUUCUGCCAAAUCCUAACCUCUCUCCGUAGAAUGUUAUUUCUUUCAGAAACUUGGACCCUGCCUCGAGCUCUGCCACACUUAAACACCACAGACAGGUCAGGGUUGUAAGAACUGUCUCAUACGGACAAGUGUGAAAUGGGGGAAACGACUACCGACUCUCAAGAUGGACUUAAAUGCCGUCAGUUUUCUAGUGAAAAACUUUGUAGACCCUGCACGGCACCUACCUGCCACCCCAGGUCAGCAAUCUCCUCACCCGUUGAGGACAUGCAUUGCCGUCAGUCAGUAGAGAGCGGUUGCACCUCUCAGGUGAGCUAAGUCUCCUUUCAGAAACAACUUUUUUUUUUCUCUUGAGCAAUAACUGGAGACAUGGAGGUGUCCUGACUUCAGACCUGGGGUCCUGAGCUGCAUUUCGGAGUGUAAGCACUCAAGUGUCUAUGGUAAGAUGGUAUGGAUUUUGAUAUACAGUCUUUCCCAAUUGCAGUUGCUGGGGAAUUAAAGAAAAUUGUAGUAAACAUACUAAUUUUUUUAAAUGAUGUAAUGUGAGGGGUCAUUUAGAUCAAAUUUUUGUUUCUUCAACUAUUCCUCCAUUUCUGUAUUCCUCCUUCUCCUCAAGUUCAAGUUGCAAUUCAAUCCCUCAAAAAGCUUCAGUUAUCCCAAAUAAAAGCAUGUAAAAAACCUGU
Molecule: long non-coding RNA, 1405 nt
Organism: Aquila chrysaetos chrysaetos
Lineage: Eukaryota; Metazoa; Chordata; Aves; Accipitriformes; Accipitridae
Exons: 4
Source: RefSeq, a predicted model, not a curated record